GACGCACGCUGGCGGCGUGCCUAAUACAUGCAAGUAGAACGCAGUUGCGAACGGGUGAGUAACGCGUAGGUAACUGCCUCAUAGCGGGGGAUAACUAUUGGAAACGAUAGCUAAUACCGCAUCCUGUGAGAUGGACCUGCGUUGUAUUAGCUAGUUGGUGAGGUAAAGGCUCACCAAGGCGACGUUACAUAGCCGACCUGAGAGGAUGAUCGGCCACACUGUGACUGAGACACGUAUCAGUCUCCGCCGGGAGGCAGAUGAAGGGAAUAUGCGGACAUGGAGCGAAGGCUGACAGAGCAACGCGGCGAGAGGGAAGAAUGUUGUCAGGUCGAAAAGCUCUGUUGGUAGAGAAGCGGUAACUAACCGAAGAGGGGCGGCUAACUACAUGCCAGCAGCCGCGGUAAUUC
This 407-nucleotide ribosomal RNA is filed under the name uncultured bacterium. RNAcentral describes it as "partial 16S ribosomal RNA". It matches the Rfam family "Bacterial small subunit ribosomal RNA", at positions 28 to 526 of the family's 1533-position model. The record is from RNAcentral.